This 497-nucleotide ribosomal RNA is filed under the name uncultured bacterium. RNAcentral's name for it is "partial 16S ribosomal RNA". It matches the Rfam family "Bacterial small subunit ribosomal RNA", at positions 28 to 507 of the family's 1533-position model. The record is from RNAcentral.
GACGAACGCUGGCGGCGUGCCUAAUACAUGCAAGUUGAGCGCUGAAGGUUGGUACUUGUACCAACUGGAUGAGCAGCGCACGGGUGAGUAACGCGUGGGGAAUCUGCCUUUGAGCGGGGGACAACAUUUGGAAACGAAUGCUAAUACCGCAUAAAAACUUUAAACACAAGUUUUAAGUUUGAAAGAUGCCAUUGCAUCACUCAAAGAUGAUCCCGCGUUGUAUUAGCUAGUUGGUGAGGUAAAGGCUCACCAAGGCGAUGAUACAUAGCCGACCUGAGAGGGUGAUCGGCCACACUGGGACUGAGACACGGCCCAAACUCCUACGGGAGGCAGCAGUAGGGAAUCUUCGGCAAGGGACGAAAGUCUGACCGAGCAACGCCGCGUGAGGGAAGAAGGUUGUCGGAUCGUAAAACUCUGUUGGUAGAGAAGAACGUUGGUGAGAGUGGAAAGCUCAUCAAGUGACGGUAACUACCCAGAAAGGGACGGCUAACUACGUG